This 1218-nucleotide ribosomal RNA is filed under the name uncultured Rhizaria. Its description in RNAcentral is "SSU rRNA". It matches the Rfam family "Eukaryotic small subunit ribosomal RNA", at positions 577 to 1805 of the family's 1831-position model. The record is from RNAcentral.
CGGUAAUUCCAGCUCCAAUAGCGUAUACUAAAGUUGUUGCAGUUAAAAAGCUCGUAGUUGGAUUUCUGCGGGGACGGAGCGGCCGGACGCAACUUGCGUCUCGAGCUAGCGCUUUCCCCGCAUCCUGCCGCGAACCGUGCUACCAUUAGUUUGGUGGCGCUGGGGAUCGGCUCGAUUACUUUGAGAAAAAUAGAGUGUUCAAAGCAGGCCACACGCCUUGAAUAAGUUAGCAUGGAAUAAUGACUAAGGACUUCGGUUCUAUUUUGUUGGUGUUCGGGACUGAAGUAAUGAUUGAUAGGGACAGUUGGGGCGGUCUGUAUUCCAAAGCGAGAGGUGAAAUUCUUAGACCUUCGGAAGACAAACAGCUGCGAAAGCGUUCCGCAAGGAUGUUCCCUUUGAUCAAGAACGAAAGUUGGGGGAUCGAAGACGAUCAGAUACCGUCGUAGUCUCAACUAUAAACUAUACCAGCUAGGGAUCGGUCAACGUUUAAUUAUUCGACUUGAUCGGCACCUUAUGAGAAAUCAAAGCAUCUGGGUUCCGGGGGGAGUAUGGUCGCAAGGCUGAAACUUAAAGGAAUUGACGGAAGGGCACCACCAGCCGUGGAGCCUGUGGCUUAAUUUAACUCAACACGGGAAAACUUACCAGGUCCAGACAUAGUAAGGAUUGACAGAUUGAUAGCUCUUUCUUGAUUCUGUGGGUGGUGGUGCAUGGCCGUUCUUAGUUGGUGGAGUGAUUUGUCUGGUUAAUUCCGUUAACGAACGAGACCCCAGCCUGCUAAAUAGCGCGGCUGAGCUUUGCUCGGUGCGAGCUUCUUAGAGGGACUAUGAUGCGCGAUAGCACAUGGAAGUUUGGGGCAAUAACAGGUCUGUGAUGCCCUUAGAUGUUCUGGGCCGCACACGGGCUACACUGGCGCCUGCAACGAGCAUAUCAGCUGGCCCGAGAGGGUCUUGGCUAAUCUUUUGAACCGGCGCCGUGCUUGGGAUUGACCUUUGCAAUUGUUGGUCAUGCAACGAGGAAUGCCUUGUAAACGCGAGUCAUCAGCUCGCAUUGAAUACGUCCCUGCCCUUUGUACACACCGCCCGUCGCUCCUACCGAUGAAUGUUCCGAUGAAAUUUUCGGAGAGCGCCAGAGAACGGGGCUCUGCCUUGCAGAUCUGGAGGCUCAAAGUCACUUAAAUCUGAACAUUUCGAGGAAGGAGAAGUCGUAACAAGGUAGCCG